This is a long non-coding RNA of Homo sapiens (human), 1025 nucleotides long. The record is from Ensembl. NCBI's taxonomy places the organism in Eukaryota, Metazoa, Chordata, Mammalia, Primates, Hominidae.
CAGGAGUAUCUAGAAUUAAGACACUGAGUGGGAAGAGAGAUACAAAUAUGUCCAUAGAAAUAUGGAAGGUUUUAAGCCAGAAAAUCCUUAAAUGAAGGUCUGUAGCAGUAUCUCUCCAGAUAUUUAAAAAUACAAUGAUCACCAAAAUAUGCUAUAAAUGUUUAAAAUGGACUCCUAUCGAAAGUUCAGAGGUUAAAGAUGAUGUUGUUUAUGGUACUCCUAGAAAUUGAUUCUUCUUUAUUUUUUCUUUUCGUUGAGUUUAAUUGCCACUAGAAUUAUUUUCAAGUUAAGAAGAUAAGAGGAUUGACUUUUUAAACUUCAAAAUGAACUUCCCUGCUGUGACUGACUAUAUUCCCCAGUAUGGAGAAUUAUGAGGAACCUGUUGAACAGAAAAGUCUCUGACCAUAAUCAAGGUCACACAGUCAGAAGGCAUCCCAGCAGACACUCCACACUAGCCAAUGUGGAUUCAGAGACUGCACCCUUGAUUACUGUGUUGUUUGAUGAUACUAGUGCACCUUCAUGAAUCAGAACUUUCCAUAUAUGGAGGUUAUUCAGCAUGUCCUUUGUGAGUAAUGGUUACAGGUAUAAGGUGCAUACAGGUAGAUGUGAAGAAGGCAGUGGAGGAUAACAGGAAAAUGGAAGAGAAUGAGGAAAUGUAUGGUCCUGUGGAAGAAACACUGGAAUUAAGUUUAAAAACAUCUGAGGAAGAUAGAAAACAUUUUAUCUUUCAAGAUAAAAAAAGAAAAGCUCUUUGCCAACAGAAAACAUAAUAUGCGGACUCUAUGGCUAUUGUUUCUGAAAAAUAUAAGAGAUGAUUACAUCACAUUGUGUAUUCUGUAGGAAAAACACUGUAAUGCUUAUAUGGCUAAUAAUGGAAUGAUCUAAGUCAAUAUAUUGUGCAGUUUUGAGUGACAGAAGAAUUACACCAUUAUUCUUUGUAUUUUGGUUUCUGCACUAAGUUAGUCAUGUUCACUGUUUCAUCAUCAAUUAUCAUUCACUCAUUUUAUAAAAUUUUAGCAUCUGCA